RNAcentral lists this ribosomal RNA (164 nucleotides) under uncultured bacterium. Its description in RNAcentral is "partial 16S rRNA". It matches the Rfam family "Bacterial small subunit ribosomal RNA", at positions 355 to 511 of the family's 1533-position model. The record is from RNAcentral.
UAGGGAAUCUUCGGCAAUGGGCGCAAGCCUGAUGGAGCAACGCCGCGUGUGUGAUGAAGGCUUUCGGGUCGUAAAGCACUGUUGUAUGGGAAGAAAUGCUAGAAUAGGGAAUGAUUCUAGUUCGACGGUACCAUACCAGAAAGGGACGGCUAAAUACGUGCCGG